UGAGGAAGAAGGAAAAGUUCAAGUUUGAUGACUCUCCUUUCCAGAUGUAGUGGUUAAAAUACAUAUCCUUUGUAUUAACUGAAUUUCUGAGAGUGUGCCUAUGACCCCUUAAUACUCUGGGAUCUCAACAUGUCAGAAUUUCAUUUUUGCAAUAGCUUUCAAAACCAUUCUCCCUGAUUCUAGUUUCUCCAUGUUAAAUCCAUUAGCACACAGCUGAAGUAGUUUAGUACCAUAGAGCUGCUCAGAGAAUGGACUCUGCAGUUGUACCACCAACAGCCAAAUCCUGGGCCUAUUACCCAUGCUGUGUGACACUGGAUAAGUUAUUUGGCUGGAGUCUCGCACUGUCGUCCAGGCUGGAGUGCAGUGGCGUGAUCCUGGGUCACUACAACUUCUGCCCCCGACCCCCUCAGGGUUCAAGCGAUUCUUCCGCCUCAGCCUGCUGAGUAGCUGGGGUUACAGGUGCCCACCGCCACGCCCAGCUAAUUUUUUUUUUAUUUUUAGUAAAGAUGGGGUUUCACCAUGUUGGACAGACUGGUCUCAAACUCCUGACCUCAAGUGAUCUGCCCGCCUUGGCCUCUCAAAGUGCUGGGAUUACAGGCGUGAGCCACCAUGCCUUUAAAAAGAACAUGAAGAAAGCCAUCUUCCAAAAAUUAAUUUAAUUCCCGCUAAUUUAAAUUUUAAUAACUACACAAAACUAGUGAUACCACAUUAGACAGCACAGUUCUACGUGUUGUCAGUGCACUCCCAAAGCAUGUAAGAUUAUGGUUUGCAAGAACUAUCUUGACUUACCAUACUAACCUAGAACAAACACACUUUUCUAUUUCCAGAAACUCGACAUAUAAAGUUUUAGUAUACAGUAAUACAACUGGCCUUUAGCUCUUUUUGCUUAUCUUAUCUCCUGUCAAUAUCUAUCUAGGGAUACUUCUUUGACAACCCCACUCCAACCUUCCCUAAUACUGUAAGAGAAAUAUGUACACAUAUUUAAAAGUGAAAGUGUCAACUUUCUAAAACCACUUUAUAAGUAAAAUAAAGUAAGAGGCAGAUAUCUAUGUUGUCUUUCGGUGCCCACGUCCAAGGAAGCAUGCCAGUAUGUAUCGUACCAUGUAAUAAACUGCUCUCAAUUCUGUCAAAAA
Symphalangus syndactylus (siamang) is the source of this 1133-nucleotide long non-coding RNA. RefSeq lists it as uncharacterized. The record is from RefSeq and is a predicted model, not a curated record. NCBI's taxonomy places the organism in Eukaryota, Metazoa, Chordata, Mammalia, Primates, Hylobatidae.